RNAcentral lists this ribosomal RNA (1727 nucleotides) under Salmonella enterica subsp. enterica serovar Heidelberg str. N418. Its description in RNAcentral is "bacterial LSU rRNA". It matches the Rfam family "Bacterial large subunit ribosomal RNA", at positions 1220 to 2925 of the family's 2925-position model. The record is from RNAcentral. Lineage: Bacteria; Pseudomonadati; Pseudomonadota; Gammaproteobacteria; Enterobacterales; Enterobacteriaceae.
GUUGUUGGGUAGGGGAGCGUUCUGUAAGCCUGUGAAGGUGGCCUGUGAGGGUUGCUGGAGGUAUCAGAAGUGCGAAUGCUGACAUAAGUAACGAUAAAGCGGGUGAAAAGCCCGCUCGCCGGAAGACCAAGGGUUCCUGUCCAACGUUAAUCGGGGCAGGGUGAGUCGACCCCUAAGGCGAGGCCGAAAGGCGUAGUCGAUGGGAAACGGGUUAAUAUUCCCGUACUUGGUGUUACUGCGAAGGGGGGACGGAGAAGGCUAUGUUGGCCGGGCGACGGUUGUCCCGGUUUAAGCGUGUAGGUGUGUGUUCCAGGUAAAUCCGGUUCACUUUAACACUGAGGCGUGAUGACGAGGCACUACGGUGCUGAAGCAACAAAUGCCCUGCUUCCAGGAAAAGCCUCUAAGCAUCAGGUAACAUCAAAUCGUACCCCAAACCGACACAGGUGGUCAGGUAGAGAAUACCAAGGCGCUUGAGAGAACUCGGGUGAAGGAACUAGGCAAAAUGGUGCCGUAACUUCGGGAGAAGGCACGCUGACACGUAGGUGAAGUGAUUUACUCACGGAGCUGAAGUCAGUCGAAGAUACCAGCUGGCUGCAACUGUUUAUUAAAAACACAGCACUGUGCAAACACGAAAGUGGACGUAUACGGUGUGACGCCUGCCCGGUGCCGGAAGGUUAAUUGAUGGGGUCAGCGCAAGCGAAGCUCCUGAUCGAAGCCCCGGUAAACGGCGGCCGUAACUAUAACGGUCCUAAGGUAGCGAAAUUCCUUGUCGGGUAAGUUCCGACCUGCACGAAUGGCGUAAUGAUGGCCAGGCUGUCUCCACCCGAGACUCAGUGAAAUUGAACUCGCUGUGAAGAUGCAGUGUACCCGCGGCAAGACGGAAAGACCCCGUGAACCUUUACUAUAGCUUGACACUGAACAUUGAGCCUUGAUGUGUAGGAUAGGUGGGAGGCUUUGAAGCGUGGACGCCAGUCUGCGUGGAGCCGACCUUGAAAUACCACCCUUUAAUGUUUGAUGUUCUAACGUGGACCCGUAUCCGGGUUGCGGACAGUGUCUGGUGGGUAGUUUGACUGGGGCGGUCUCCUCCUAAAGAGUAACGGAGGAGCACGAAGGUUGGCUAAUCCUGGUCGGACAUCAGGAGGUUAGUGCAAUGGCAUAAGCCAGCUUGACUGCGAGCGUGACGGCGCGAGCAGGUGCGAAAGCAGGUCAUAGUGAUCCGGUGGUUCUGAAUGGAAGGGCCAUCGCUCAACGGAUAAAAGGUACUCCGGGGAUAACAGGCUGAUACCGCCCAAGAGUUCAUAUCGACGGCGGUGUUUGGCACCUCGAUGUCGGCUCAUCACAUCCUGGGGCUGAAGUAGGUCCCAAGGGUAUGGCUGUUCGCCAUUUAAAGUGGUACGCGAGCUGGGUUUAGAACGUCGUGAGACAGUUCGGUCCCUAUCUGCCGUGGGCGCUGGAGAACUGAGGGGGGCUGCUCCUAGUACGAGAGGACCGGAGUGGACGCAUCACUGGUGUUCGGGUUGUCAUGCCAAUGGCACUGCCCGGUAGCUAAAUGCGGAAGAGAUAAGUGCUGAAAGCAUCUAAGCACGAAACUUGCCCCGAGAUGAGUUCUCCCUGAGACUUAGAGUCUCCUGAAGGAACGUUGAAGACGACGACGUUGAUAGGCCGGGUGUGUAAGCGCAGCGAUGCGUUGAGCUAACCGGUACUAAUGAACCGUGAGGCUUAACCUU